Molecule: ribosomal RNA, 468 nt
Filed under: uncultured bacterium
Lineage: Bacteria
Description: partial 16S ribosomal RNA
Rfam family: Bacterial small subunit ribosomal RNA
Source: RNAcentral
GACGAACGCUGGCGGCGUGCUUAACACAUGCAAGUCGAACGGACAGGCCCUGCUUUUGUUGGUUGCUCGAGUGGCGAACGGGUGAGUAACACGUGAGUAACCUGCCCUUGACUUUGUGAUAACUUCAGGAAACUGGGGCUCAUACCGGAUAUGAGCUCCUGCUGCAUGUUGUGGGUUGGAAAGUUUCGGCGGUUGGGGAUGGACUCGCGGCUUAUCAGCUUGUUGGUGGGGUAGUGGCUUACCAAGGCUUUGACGGGUAGCCGGCCUGAGAGGGUGACCGGCCACAUUGGGACUGAGAUACGGACCAGACUCCUACGGGAGGCAGCAGGGGGGAAUAUUGCACAAUGGGCGGAAGCCUGAGGCAGAAACGCCGCGUGCGGGAUGACGGCCUUCGGGUUAUAAACAGCUUUCGAAGGUGACGAAGCGUGAGUGACGGUAAUGGGUAAAGAAGCACCGGCUAACUACGUG